AUUAAGGCCACUGAGGAUAGUGUCCCUAUUUUCCACGUGAACGUUUUGUCUGUGUCGUAUUAUAUAUAUUUUCUUGUUUGAUGGUAUGGUUACUUUCCAUAUUUCAACCGCUCUCUCUCUCUCUCUCUCUCUCUCUCUCUCUCUCUUACAAUGAGUGAGAUUAAGUACCCACCAUAUACUGGCUCGAGUUUACAACCGCUUUCUUUCGCUACCGGUUGUUCCCGAGUGUUGCCCUACUGUGCAGUUUCCUCCAACUUGUUUCUUUGUUUUGAUUUGUCUGUUAGCAACCGCGCUCGUCCGUUGGUAUAUGUAUCUUUGCACGUUCUUUGGUAUGUGUAUAUUCAAAAUGUACUUUUUAAGCAACAGUCUGCUAUAUCAUUCAUAUUGGUUUAAUAUGAUAAUUUUGAAAUAUCAUGCUUAUAAUGCAUGUCUUACUAAUUUCACCAUAAAUCUAAUUCACAAUUUUAUUCCAUUCCUUUUAUCGUCAAAAAUAGUGUUGUUUUUUUUUUCACUUUUACUGAUCUGUUAGAUACUAUUACAAUGAUAUUUGUUAAAUCAUUUAAAGUCAGAUUCCGAUUUUAAAAACCUGCCAUAUGUAUGAUAAUAAAUAUGUUAAUGUCAGUUUUUGCAUCAGUUAAUGCAGACAUCUUUAAUGUUUUGGUAGAUUUUUUUUAACAACUCCAAAGAAAACUUGGUACAUUCGUCAAUCUUAAUAUUUACUUUAGAAAAAAACGGGAUAAUAUAAAGGUUCACUUGAGUGAUUUUUAUAUAAUCAGCUGAUUUUCAUAAAUAUGAUGACCUUAAGGUGCUCAUCUUAGGAUAAAACAAGAUGAAAACUACAAUGGGAAAAGCAUGAACUCCCUUUGAAACAAAUAUGUAACCGCUGGUGAAAAAGAUCGGUUGUGUCUUAAGAUUCCACACUUCACUACUUAAAAGUUUGAAAUUGUGAAGAACGAAAUCAUGUAUAGCACGAUUUUUUACUUCACGACGUUUUGAUUAUUUUCAUCAAACGAUUCCGAAACUUUUUCCAAAAAAGAAGGUGCGAAGAACUGAUUUCAAACAUGAUUUCUAAAAUUUUAGGAAGUGGGUGUUACACAUUUCUUUACCUCUCAUUAAUAGACACACUCAAAUUGAGUCUGCUGUCGUUUUGCUUGCGUGUGCUCUUUUUCCAAAGUGUCUUCUAUAGAUUAUUUACAAAGUAUUUGCGCAGACCCAUUCGUAAGAAUGACUGUCUUGUUUUGUAAUUCUGAAUUUUGCGCUUCGAUUAACAUACACGUCAUGCCUGUUUGGUUAUCGCAUUGUAAUUAGUCAAUGUAAAAAGUGUUUGCUACAGAUGAUAGAAAACAUCUGGUGUAUAAUACAUCACAUCAGUAUGACAGCAAACUGUAUAUCAUAAUCAUUUUUUUAAAAAAGGCUACUGUUAAAUAACAACUCAUGAUGCUUAUACACUACUUGACAAGUAAAUAUUAGCAUUUGUUUCAUUUUAAAUAUCCAGCUAGUAUACUGCAACAUAGUUCAGUCGGGUAAAGUGCAGAUAGUAAUUGGAUAUAAGCAAAUUAUUAUGUGAGUUCGAAUCCUCAUGAGGAUUUGUUUUUCAGAUUUUUUUUUUGUUCUUCCUAUACGUUUUCAUUUUUGUAUUAAACUUCAAAACGGUAAAUUAUUUGAGUACUCAGGUUUAAACAGAAUAUAAUUAUAUUCAACGACAAAAAUGACAUUUUAUUCAAUGCCGCUCGAGGCUUUAAUAACUAUAGUAUCUAACUACUCCCGAUCCUGUUUACUCUACACAAACUUUCGUAAUUUACUUUAACCAUUUGCAAAGACUUCUGAGACAUUAUUUCUUUGAUAAAUAAAAUGGAUUAAUGUUUCGAUGCAGUGCGCUUAAAAAUAAAACAAUUCGACUUGUGAUGCUACAUGGAUAUUUUAUGUUUAUUUCAAGACGAAGAUAAUAUUAAAUUUCUAUUUUUAUGUUUGUUUAUUCAUGAAUGGGACACACAGCUACAUUCUUGAGAGAUGAUGGUACUUCGAAGAAGGAGAAAGUAGUUGUUACAAGCACAGAAGAAGUCUUCGAAACAGCUGUUGCCACUGUCGUUGCCGAUUUCUUCACGGGACAGAUAUCAUACAAAUUUCAGGAAACUGAUAUUGCUUUAGACGUACAUGUAAAUAUGUGUUAUGUGACUAACCUAAACACAAGAGAUUUUCAAACUCCUCGGGAGUUUAUAAAGACGCACACAUCUGAUCAGAUCACAUUUCCGACGAACAACAAAGCUGUGAGGAAGUACGAGGUAACUACCAUAUUUUGAAUAAUAAAGGUCUUGGACCUAACGCAGCCGAACUCUGCAAGGAAAACCAGUAUUCUUGUUGUGCGCGAAAUAACAGUUCUAGAGGCAACAACUUGAGAGAAAAAAUCAAAAUGGAAAAUCACAAUCAAUCUCGGCAUUAUCAAAUUUAAAGUGUCCCGGGAAAAAGAGAAUUAAGUAUCCACAAAGAAGCGGAAGUGUCUAAUUUUGUUACCUACAUAGACAUUGAAAUGUCUUCUAUUUUUGUAGUGUUCUGGCAAUUUUCAAUUGGUCUUCAUUCAGAUGAUUCAUUAUAUGUUGAUAUUAUAUAUAUGAUUAACACUAUGAUUUACAUCACCACAUUUUACUGAAAUUAAACCAUUGUAUAUGAUACUGACAGGUAGUAUGUAUAUUGCACAUAUUAAACUAUUACAGUUUUUA
Molecule: RNA transcript, 2717 nt
Organism: Mercenaria mercenaria
Lineage: Eukaryota; Metazoa; Mollusca; Bivalvia; Venerida; Veneridae
Exons: 4
Source: RefSeq, a predicted model, not a curated record